AGCGAACGCUGGCGGCAGGCCUAACACAUGCAAGUCGAACGAACCUUUCGGGGUUAGUGGCGGACGGGUGAGUAACACGUGGGAACGUGCCUUUAGGUUCGGAAUAACUCAGGGAAACUUGUGCUAAUACCGAAUGUGCCCUUCGGGGGAAAGAUUAAUCGCCUUUAGAGCGGCCCGCGUCUGAUUAGCUAGUUGGUUGAGGUAAUGGCUCACCAAGGCGACGAUCAGUAGCUGGUCUGAGAGGAUGAUCAGCCACAUUGGGACUGGGACACGGCCCAAACUCCUACGGGAGGCAGCAGGGGGGAAUCUUGCGCAAUGGGCGAAAGCCUGACGCAGCCAUGCCGCGUGAAUGAUGAAGGUCUUAGGAUUGUAAAAUUCUUUCACCGGGGACGAUAAUGACGGUACCCGGAGAAGAAGCCCCGGCUAACUUCGUG
This 434-nucleotide ribosomal RNA is filed under the name uncultured bacterium. RNAcentral describes it as "partial 16S ribosomal RNA". It matches the Rfam family "Bacterial small subunit ribosomal RNA", at positions 29 to 507 of the family's 1533-position model. The record is from RNAcentral.